ACAAAAAGUGGAUUCUCUUCUGGAAA
Molecule: non-coding RNA, 26 nt
Filed under: Cricetulus griseus (Chinese hamster)
Lineage: Eukaryota; Metazoa; Chordata; Mammalia; Rodentia; Cricetidae
Source: RNAcentral